RNAcentral lists this long non-coding RNA (639 nucleotides) under Oryza brachyantha (malo sina). RNAcentral describes it as "long non-coding RNA (OBRA_LNC001761)". The record is from RNAcentral. Lineage: Eukaryota; Viridiplantae; Streptophyta; Magnoliopsida; Poales; Poaceae.
CCCCCUGAAAAACCGAUCAUUUCACUCCACUGAAGCAGCUGGCAAAUUCCUAGCAGCAAAAAGCUUCUUCUGUCGGUAUACUAAUCCGGUUUCGACAGGUCAACCGCCCCCUGAUUGUUCCAGACUUCCAGUGCGCGCCGUGAUCAUGAUUUGUGACAUCAUGGAACGCUUGAAUUCAAAGCAAACCCCCACAAUGCUUUCUUGGCAUUGACACGGAAGCAAUGAUCAGAUCAACCUGUGCAUAACACUACACCCAAAUCUUCUCUUCAUUUCACAUCUCCCUUUCUUUUCGUUCGUUGCGAAAAAAAAUAUGUUUAUUUCAAGAUUUUCGUAUUGAUACAAACUUACAUUUUGUGAUAUGAACUAAAAACAUGUAACAAUUAAUUAACUCAAAAAGAAAUGCGUACAUUUUGUGGUAUAAAACUAGAAGCAACUAAUUUGUACACACAUGAUCGCAGAAUAUUUACACUUGAUCAUGCAUUAGUAAUUAAUUAAUUAACGAGUGCUCGGUCAAAACUGCAAAGAGAGGAGACCUUCACCGGACGGCAGAGGCGACGGUGUGGGCCCAGAGGCGGAGGUGCUGCUUCAGGUCGGCGCCGUCGCCGGCCGGCGGGGUCCUCCCGUUGCGUAGCAUCGNNN